This 299-nucleotide unclassified non-coding RNA is filed under the name uncultured Acaulospora. RNAcentral's name for it is "sequence contains ITS1". The stretch from base 1 to 100 matches the Rfam family "5.8S ribosomal RNA", at positions 50 to 154 of the family's 154-position model. The record is from RNAcentral. Lineage: Eukaryota; Fungi; Glomeromycota; Glomeromycetes; Diversisporales; Acaulosporaceae.
GAAAUGCGAUACGUAAUGUGAAUUGCAGGAAUCUGUGAAUCAUCAAAAUUUUGAACGCAAGUUGCAGCUCUGUUGAGGAGCUAUAUCUAUUUCAGUGUUGGUAAAAACAAAAAUCACAAAAAAUACUUUUGUGGAAAUGAAUGUAUAAGUAAAUUUAUACUUAUUCAUUUGAAUAUUAUUGAUAAGUUUACUUUUACUGUUAGUUUUAUAUCUAAUAAAAAAGUUUUACUUUCAUAAACAAGCAAUAUAUUUUAUAAAAAAUCAACCUGAAAUUAGGUAAGAAUACCCGCUGAACUUAA